RNAcentral lists this long non-coding RNA (3058 nucleotides) under Homo sapiens (human). Its description in RNAcentral is "HSALNT0362085". The record is from RNAcentral. Lineage: Eukaryota; Metazoa; Chordata; Mammalia; Primates; Hominidae.
GUGAUUUGACUCAGGCAUGUUUAAAGAGUAGCUCUUGUACCAGGGAAAUGAAGAUUUGAUCCUGCACUGCUCUUAAGGGCAGCAAAGGACCAUAAGCAAUUCUCCAAUGGUGAAGAUCGACCCCAGUCAUGUAAAAACACGAGGCAACACAUUUCACUUUUGCUUAAGAAGGAUCUUGCAGAAAGUGAAGAAGAGCAGGAAUAGAGAAGACAUUUGAAUGACGACUGAUGUUCUCUUCUUUGGCCUGAGGUUUUAGAACACAUUCACUGCCUGAUCACUGUGGCCCAGAAGCCAUGGCCUCUGCUGAGAGAUAGGGACCCCAUGUUCCCUCUACACAUCUUCUUCCCCAAAGCCUCUCUGAGGCUCCUAUGUUCAAAGAAACAGUCCUCUGGCAAUGGCCUGGUCCUUUCUGCCAUACCAAAGAAAGUUGUUUUUUGUUUUGAGCAAGAGAUCACUUCUGAUUUUCCUACCUUUGACAUGGACCAGACUAAUUGACAAAUUCUAGAAGGACAGACACUUCCAAACGUCUCUUGACAUACUGGCUUCACAAAGGUUAGGAAAGCUGUUAUGGGGAGGACGGAGCCUUUCUCCUCUUCCUGAGAACGUUUGAAGAAGAAAGGGGCUACUGAGAAGUCUGGUAGAUUCAGCAGCUAGUAAAUAUCGUGUCUAAAUGGGCAUCUUUUAUUAAACUCUGAGGCAGGGUUGGUGUGUUAGGCCAUUCUUUCUUGCUAUAAAGAAAUAUCUGAGACUGGGUAACUUAUAAAGAACAGAGGUUUAAUUGGCUCAUGGUUCUGCAGGCUGCACAGAAAGCAUAAUGACAUCUUCUUCUGGCUAGGCCUCUGGAAGCUUCCAAUGAUGGUGGAAGGCGAAGAGGGAACUUGCGCAUCACAUGGCAAAAGCAGGAGCAAGAGAGAGGCGAGGAGGUGCCGCACACUUUUAAAAGACCAGAUCUCAUGAAAACUCACUAUUGUGAGGACAGCACCAAGAGGAUCGUGCUAAAUUAUUCAAGAGAAAUCCUCCCCCAUGAUCCAGUCACCUCCCACCAGGCCCCACCUCCAACAUUGGGGAUUACAUUUCAACAUGAGAUUUGGAUGGAAACACAUUCAAGCUUUAUCAGGUCUAGAGGGCAGCGUCAGGGAAGCCAGAGAUUCCAAGCACAAGAAAGAUUUGAUGCAGCCUUGGUGACUUGGAGAUGGAAGGGGCCAUGAGGCAAGGAAUGUAGACAACUGUAAGUGUUGAAAGUGGACCUCAGCUGGCAGCCAGUAAGAAAAGAGGAACCUUCAGGCUACAACCUCAAGGGACAGAAUUCAGCCAACAUCCAGAGUAAGUUUAGAAAUGGACUUUUCCUCGGCGCCUCCAAAUAAGAGUCCAUUCUGACCUCUGCAUUGAUUUUAGGCUUAUAAGAUUAAGCAGGUGAUCCAGCCACACGGUUCUGGUCUUCUGAGCUCCCGGAGAAAUGCAUGUUGUUUGAAGCUGCUAAGUUUGUGGCAAUAUGUUACUCAGCAACAGAAAACUAAUAUACUUGGAAUAGAAUAUUCACUGUGAAUGAAGGAAGUUUUGAGCUCUAUAAAAAUGGAAAACUUUUAUCUUACUCUCACUUCCAACUAAUUUCCCAGAUGCAUUAUCACUUCAGAACAUUCUGCAGGGUAUUGGCGAUGAUUUUUCUUCUUUAUAGAGAUCCAGUAUUAAGUUAGAGAAUAAAUAGUGGUAAUAAUAAUAAUUAAUAAUAAUAUAGAUAACAUUUUGAGCGUGUUUAUCAUGUGCUAGCAUUUUGCUAAACACUUUAUCUGCAUUCUCUCAUAUAAUUCCCACAAUGGUCAUUUUAAGACAGAGAUUAUUACUAUUUUCAUUUUGUGUUUUCGGAAUUAGAGAAUUGCAGACAUGUAUAAAUCUUCAUAUAUAAACCUGUGAUAUUGUGGUAUAAUGGGAAAUAUAUAUUUUGUUUCUGCUCCUGGUUCCUGGCACAAAGCUACUAAAACCCUUGUAGUUUCCUGACUAAUAGGGGUGCUAGGUAUAUCUUUGGUUCUGAUAUUGGGUCUUUGAUUCCAGUUCCUGACAUGGUGCUCAUAAUCCCUUAGAAUUUUCUGGGUGAUACAUGUGUCUUUUUUUCUAAGGAAGUGACUCUUGAUGGGCUACUGGAUUGGAGCUUGUCACCAGAAAGACCAAGCCAUGAUUAGAAGCUUGGAACUUUCAGCCUCAGCCCCUAUCCUCCAGGAAGCAGAGAGGGGCUGGAGAUUGUUAAUAAUCAAUCUUGCCUAUGUGAUGAAGCUUCCAUAAAAAUCCCUGAAUUCUGGGGUUCAGAGAGAUGCAAGGUUGCUGAACAUGUGGAGAUGCUAGGAGGGUGGUGCCCUGGAAAGAGCAUGGAGGUUCAAGAGCCCCUUUCCCCAUACCUUGCCCUGUGUAUCUCACCCCCUCUGGCUGUUAAUCUGUAUCCUUAGUAAUAUUCUUUAUGAUAAAAUGGCAAGUGUAAAUAAAGUGUUUCCCUGAAUCCUAUGAGCCACUCCAGCUAAUUAAGCAAACCUGAGGGGGUUCUAGAAAACACCAAUUUAUAGCCCAUCAGUCAGAAGUUCUAGAGGCCCAUACUUGUGAUUAGCAUCUGGAGCGAGGGGCAGUCUUGCGGUGCUGAGUCCUCACCUUGUGAGAUCUGACUCCAACUCCAGGUAGGUAUUGUCAGAAUCGAGUUAAAUUGUAGGACACCCCAUUAGUGUCCACUGGAGAACUGCUUGCAGUGUAAGGGGAAAAUCCCACAAAUCUGGUGUCAACAGUCUUGUAAUGUUUUGUUGAGAAUAUAAUAGAAGAUGCUUAGUUCAUCUGUUUGUUUGUUUACUAUCAUACAGAACCAAAAUCCAGGUCUGUCUGAUCUUAAACCCAUUUGCCUGGUGGAAAGUUAUGGAUGGUGCUCAGAGUUCACUGUUCUCUUUCUGUUUCAUAUGCUCAGGUGUGUUGCUAAACAUGAGAUGCUGGGAAACUGAAAGGAAUACGUAAGAAAGAUGGCAACAAUUAAAAAAUGCAGAAUGAGGUUGAUCUAAAAUAAAAGUUGACAACCAAUGAAAUGGAG